GAGGGUAUGGCUCAGUGGUAGAGCACAUGCUUAGCAUGCACGACAUCCUGGUUUCAAUUCCCAGUACUUCCG
RNAcentral lists this transfer RNA (72 nucleotides) under Camelus bactrianus (Bactrian camel). It matches the Rfam family "tRNA". Rfam says of the family: Transfer RNA (tRNA) molecules are approximately 80 nucleotides in length. Their secondary structure includes four short double-helical elements and three loops (D, anti-codon, and T loops). Further hydrogen bonds mediate the characteristic L-shaped molecular structure. tRNAs have two regions of fundamental functional importance: the anti-codon, which is responsible for specific mRNA codon recognition, and the 3' end, to which the tRNAs corresponding amino acid is attached (by aminoacyl-tRNA synthetases). tRNAs cope with the degeneracy of the genetic code in two manners: having more than one tRNA (with a specific anti-codon) for a particular amino acid; and 'wobble' base-pairing, i.e. permitting non-standard base-pairing at the 3rd anti-codon position. The record is from Rfam by way of RNAcentral. RNAcentral also lists the same sequence under 2 other names. Lineage: Eukaryota; Metazoa; Chordata; Mammalia; Artiodactyla; Camelidae.